Sus scrofa (pig) is the source of this 1492-nucleotide non-coding RNA. The record is from RefSeq and is a predicted model, not a curated record. Lineage: Eukaryota; Metazoa; Chordata; Mammalia; Artiodactyla; Suidae.
UCAGAAUAACUGCACUGUUUCUGAGAUUUUUUUCAUAUGGAUCAUGGAUAUAACUUGAUAACUAUAGCCAGUAAAGUGGGAGUUGAGAAUGCUGUUCAAGAUUUCAAAAGACUUCAGAGAGAGUGCUGGGUCCUGGAGCAGGAAUAGGGAGACUGACAUCUCUUGCUGAGCUGCUGUGGUCCAUACUGGAUGGAGAAGACAUCUGGAUGCUGCUCAUGUGCGGUCCAUAGCAAUCUGGCAGCAGUCCAUGGACAAAAGUAACUUUUCGGGAGCUAUGGAAUCCAGCAUCAUAUGCCAAAGGAUCUGGGAGAGGUCUCACUCACCUGUGCAUCAGGUAAUAGGCAUACAGACCUUGCUCCAGGCUGUGGAUCCUAAAGUAGCCCGUGAUCUAAUUCAGCCCCUCUCAGUCCAGGUCCAAGAUUCCCUGGAGAAUAUUGACUUAAUCACCCACAGAUGUGCAAGCCUUUGGGGAAAUCCAGUACACCAUUGGAGGAAAAAAAAUACCCAAGAUUGGACUCACUGGAAAAGACACGAGAAACUGUUUGACUUCAUCCAUGUCGCCCCUCCCUCAGUGUGGCACAGCUCACUGCCAGGGGAGCCUGUGAUUCCUCCCUUGAGGGAAAGUGAGAGCAUGAGAGCCAGUGCCUGGUCCCCCAGCUGAGCAGGAGGCCAUCAAAGAGACCCACUUCUUCUUUGGCCUCAUCCAGAGUAUUGAGUGGCAAGCUGGAUGGGGGACAGUGAGCAGACAGGAAAGUGUCAGUCAGGGCUCAAAAACACAUCAAAGGGAUGCAGAAGCUACCAGAACUCCAUUGAGACUCCUCCUGGCAGCCACUGGGAGGUACAUUCUGUGAACACUAGUCUACUGUCACAAAGCAUGCUUUUAAAUCAUAGAUUUAAAGACAUGACCACAGAGAGGAAGUCAUGGCAAUAAGAAGCCAAACUUGUUUGCUAAGAUAAGAGCUAGACCUGCUUGGCAGGCUUCGUUUUCUUUAUUGGAAAUAGUUUCAGACAGGUAAAUUGAAGGAAUUAGGGUACAUCUGGAUUUAUAAGGUAAUUGAAGAAAAUAUCCCAUGAAAUCCUUGUGGAUCAGAUGAAGAAUGUGGGCUGAUGUAAUAUAAUAGAGUUGUAUUUAUGAGUGGUUGAAUGACUGUACUACAGCAUAUGAAUAAAUAUAAAUAGAGAAUAAAGUCCCUGUUAGAAUAUGCCUUUAACUUUUACCUGCUCUCACAUGUUAAUAAGUAUUUGCUCAAGAGCACUGUGGCUUGAUUUUGAGCUAGCCAGCUAAUAUACUAGGGCGAGAAUUAGCUCCUUUAGGAUCCCAACAAGUUCUAAAAUAGACUGCAUGUAGAAAAAAUGGAAUUUCAUGGGACUAAAUGAAUAGUUAUGUAAAAUUACCAUGAAAGUCCCAACUAAUUAUGUAAGUAAUAUUUUUAAAAGUCAUACUUGGAGUUCCCAUUGUGGCUCAGCAGGUUAAGAACCUGACCACUCUCCA